GACGAACCGUGCGAACGUUGUUCGGGAUCACUGGGCUUAAAGGGCGCGUAGGCGGGCUGACAAGUCUGGGGUGAAAUGCCGCGGCUCAACCGUGGAACUGCCUUAGAUACUGUCGGCCUCGAGGAAGGUAGGGGCAUGCGGAACUGUAGGUGGAGCGGUGAAAUGCGUUGAUAUCUACAGGAACUCCGGUGGCGAAAGCGGCGUGCUGGACCUUUUCUGACGCUGAGGCGCGAAAGCUAGGGGAGCAAACGGG
This 253-nucleotide ribosomal RNA is filed under the name uncultured bacterium. RNAcentral's name for it is "partial 16S ribosomal RNA". It matches the Rfam family "Bacterial small subunit ribosomal RNA", at positions 524 to 776 of the family's 1533-position model. The record is from RNAcentral.